Molecule: small nuclear RNA, 62 nt
Filed under: Carlito syrichta (Philippine tarsier)
Lineage: Eukaryota; Metazoa; Chordata; Mammalia; Primates; Tarsiidae
Description: U7 small nuclear RNA (ENSTSYG00000025157.2)
Rfam family: U7 small nuclear RNA
About the family: Animal histone pre-mRNAs are spliced by a different mechanism than nuclear pre-mRNAs and self-splicing introns. This processing involves the U7 snRNP, which contains only one RNA species: U7. The 5' end of U7 RNA is thought to base-pair to a conserved spacer element downstream of the cleavage site in histone pre-mRNA.
Source: Rfam by way of RNAcentral
AAGUAUUGUAGCUUUCUUAGAAUUUGUCUAGCAGGGUUUCCGGUCUACCCCAGAAGGCCCAU